CUUAGUAACGGCGAGUGAAGCGGCAAAAGCUCAAAUUUGAAAUCUGGCACCUUCGGUGUCCGAGUUGUAAUUUGAAGAAGGUAACUUUGGAGUUAGCUCUUGUCUAUGUUCCUUGGAACAGGACGUCACAGAGGGUGAGAAUCCCGUGCGAUGAGAUGUCUAACUCUAUGUAAAGUGCUUUCGAAGAGUCGAGUUGUUUGGGAAUGCAGCUCUAAGUGGGUGGUAAAUUCCAUCUAAAGCUAAAUAUUGGCGAGAGACCGAUAGCGAACAAGUACAGUGAUGGAAAGAUGAAAAGAACUUUGAAAAGAGAGUGAAAAAGUACGUGAAAUUGUUGAAAGGGAAGGGUUUGAGAUCAGACUUGGUAUUUUGUAUGUCUUGCUUUCGGGUGGGGCCUCUGCAGUUUACUGGGCCAGCAUCGGUUUGGAUGGUAGGAUAAUGACAUUGGAAUGUGGCACUACUUCGGUGGUGUGUUAUAGACUUUGUUGAUACUGCCUGUCUAGACCGAGGACUGCGUCUUUGACUAGGAUGCUGGCAUAAUGAUCCUAAAC
This 548-nucleotide ribosomal RNA is filed under the name Scheffersomyces sp. JCM 30102. RNAcentral describes it as "eukaryotic LSU rRNA". It matches the Rfam family "Eukaryotic large subunit ribosomal RNA", at positions 79 to 645 of the family's 3401-position model. The record is from RNAcentral. Lineage: Eukaryota; Fungi; Ascomycota; Pichiomycetes; Serinales; Debaryomycetaceae.